RNAcentral lists this ribosomal RNA (456 nucleotides) under Pycnococcus provasolii. RNAcentral's name for it is "partial Bacterial large subunit ribosomal RNA". It matches the Rfam family "Bacterial large subunit ribosomal RNA", at positions 950 to 1404 of the family's 2925-position model. Lineage: Eukaryota; Viridiplantae; Chlorophyta; Pseudoscourfieldiophyceae; Pseudoscourfieldiales; Pycnococcaceae. The record is from RNAcentral.
CAAACUCCGAAUGCUAUAUAAUGUUUACUUGCAGUGAGGGCUUGGGUGCUAAGGUCCAAGUCCGAGAGGGAAAGAACCCAGACCAUCUGCUAAGGUCCCCAAAUGUAUACUAAGUUGAUCAAACGUGGUCAGACUGCUUAGACAGCUAGGAUGUUGGCUUGGAAGCAGCCAUUCAUUUAAAGAGUGCGUAACAGCUCACUGGUCGAGUGGUCUUGCGCGGAUAAUGUAACGGGGCUCAAGCUAGACACCGAAGCUUCGGGUUCGAUCUUUGAUCGAGCGGUAGGAGAGCGUUCCCAUGGCAGUGAAGCGGCGGGGGAACCCAGCCGUGGAGCCCUGGGAAGUGAGAAUGCCGGCAUGAGUAACGAAAGAGGAGUGAGAAUCUCCUCCACCGAUUUCCUAAGGAUUCCUAAGUAAAGUUCGUCUGCUUAGGGUUAGUCGGGACCUAAGGCGAGGCCG